AACAGGAGAAAGCUUGCUUUCUUGCUGACGAGCGGCGGACGGGUGAGUAAUGUAUGGGGAUCUGCCCGAUAGAGGGGGAUAACUACUGGAAACGGUGGCUAAUACCGCAUAAUGUCUACGGACCAAAGCAGGGGCUCUUCGGACCUUGCACUAUCGGAUGAACCCAUAUGGGAUUAGCUAGUAGGUGGGGUAAAGGCUCACCUAGGCGACGAUCUCUAGCUGGUCUGAGAGGAUGAUCAGCC
This 242-nucleotide ribosomal RNA is filed under the name Proteus mirabilis. Its description in RNAcentral is "partial 16S ribosomal RNA". It matches the Rfam family "Bacterial small subunit ribosomal RNA", at positions 70 to 309 of the family's 1533-position model. Lineage: Bacteria; Pseudomonadati; Pseudomonadota; Gammaproteobacteria; Enterobacterales; Morganellaceae. The record is from RNAcentral.